RNAcentral lists this ribosomal RNA (492 nucleotides) under uncultured bacterium. Its description in RNAcentral is "partial 16S ribosomal RNA". It matches the Rfam family "Bacterial small subunit ribosomal RNA", at positions 29 to 507 of the family's 1533-position model. The record is from RNAcentral.
UGUGAACGCUGGCGGUAGGCCUAACACAUGCAAGUCGAACGGCAGCACAGUAAGAGCUUGCUCUUACGGGUGGCGAGUGGCGGACGGGUGAGGAAUACAUCGGAAUCUACUUUUUCGUGGGGGAUAACGUAGGGAAACUUACGCUAAUACCGCAUACGACCUACGGGUGAAAGCAGGGGAUCUUCGGACCUUGCGCGAUUGAAUGAGCCGAUGUCGGAUUAGCUAGUUGGCGGGGCAAAGGCCCACCAAGGCGACGAUCCGUAGCUGGUCUGAGAGGAUGAUCAGCCACACUGGAACUGAGACACGGUCCAGACUCCUACGGGAGGCAGCAGUGGGGAAUAUUGGACAAUGGGCGCAAGCCUGAUCCAGCCAUACCGCGUGGGUGAAGAAGGCCUUCGGGUUGUAAAGCCCUUUUGUUGGGAAAGAAAAGCAGCAGGUUAAUACCCCGCUGUUCUGACGGUACCCAAAGAAUAAGCACCGGCUAACUUCGUG